This 253-nucleotide ribosomal RNA is filed under the name uncultured bacterium. RNAcentral's name for it is "partial 16S ribosomal RNA". It matches the Rfam family "Bacterial small subunit ribosomal RNA", at positions 524 to 776 of the family's 1533-position model. The record is from RNAcentral.
UACGUAGGUGGCAAGCGAUACUCGGAAUCACUAGGCGUAAAGCGCAGGUAGGCGGUUUAGUAAGUCUUUUGUGAAAGCUCCCGGCUUAACUGGGAGAGGUCAAAGGAAACUACUAGGCUAGAGUUUGGUAGGGGAUACUGGAAUUCCUGGUGUAGCGGUGAAAUGCGUAGAUAUCAGGAGGAAUACCUACGGCGAAAGCAGGUAUCUGGGCCACAACUGACGCUGAGCUGCGAAAGCUAGGGGAGCAAACAGG